AUUGAACGCUGGCGGCAUGCCUUACACAUGCAAGUCGAACGGUAACAGGUCUUCGGAUGCUGACGAGUGGCGAACGGGUGAGUAAUACAUCUGAACGUGCCUAGUAGUGGGGGAUAACUACUCGAAAGAGUGGCUAAUACCGCAGGAGAUCUACGGAUGAAAGCAGGGGAUCGCAAGACCUUGUGCUACUCGAGCGGCCGAUGGCAGAUUAGGUAGUUGGUGGGAUAAAAGCUUACCAAGCCGACGAUCUGUAGCUGGUCUGAGAGGACGAUCAGCCACACUGGGACUGAGACACGGCCCAGACUCCUACGGGAGGCAGCAGUGGGGAAUUUUGGACAAUGGGCGCAAGCCUGAUCCAGCAAUGCCGCGUGCAGGAUGAAGGCCUUCGGGUUGUAAACUGCUUUUGUACGGAACGAAAAGCCCUGGGUUAAUACCCUGGGGUCAUGACGGUACCGUAAGAAUAAGCACCGGCUAACUACGUGCCAGCCGCCGCAGUAA
Molecule: ribosomal RNA, 498 nt
Filed under: uncultured bacterium
Lineage: Bacteria
Description: partial 16S ribosomal RNA
Rfam family: Bacterial small subunit ribosomal RNA
Source: RNAcentral